Lynx canadensis (Canada lynx) is the source of this 900-nucleotide long non-coding RNA. RefSeq lists it as uncharacterized. The transcript is spliced from 3 exons. Lineage: Eukaryota; Metazoa; Chordata; Mammalia; Carnivora; Felidae. The record is from RefSeq and is a predicted model, not a curated record.
UUAAAAAAAAUUUAAGUGGAUUAUUUCACUUAAACCAUUCUUUCAACACUUAUUUGCACACGCCCGAAAUGCCAGCAAGUUCUAGGUGCUGUGAGAUGGCGGUGGACAAGAGACAAAGUCCCAUGGAGAAAAAAGGGCGAUUUAUACACGCAGCGCAAUAUUAUUCAGCCUUAAAGAAGAAGGAAACCCUGUCACGUGCCGCCACGUGGAUGGAUGCUGGGGACAGACGCCAAGCGAAAUAAUCCAGGCACAAACAGACGAACACUGUAUGAUCCCACUCACAUGAGAGAGACCAAGUGCCUGCUCUCGAGGGGUCCAUGUUCUAGAGGAGACGUCUCUAGUCCAGCGGCUGCACCGGACUUGGGGUUCAGAGUGAUGAUCUCAUGCUCUGUACGGCCCUCCUUGCUGAGGCUCCCGCACGGAUGAGUGAAGUACGCGCCCAUGUUCACCUUGGGCGCCGGCCGGGGGUACACGCUGACACCCUGAGGGGUCCUUGAACUAUCACACAGCCAUGCUGCAGUUUGCUUCUCCGAUGCCGCUGGGCACAGAGCUACCAGCCCCAGGGAUUCUGCCCACUUCCUCCGUCCCCUGGGGGCACAUCAGCCCAGGAUGUCUUCCUGAUGGCUCCCGGGGCCACAAGAGGUGGGUUCGGUUCAGAGCGGACAGGUGGCCACUUGAAAUGUAGCCAUUCCUGUGCUGACGGGCCCCUGCCAUCCUUCCAGAAGCCGUCUUCCCGUUGGGAUGCUGCCCAACCCCUCUUCAUAGUUGUCCCUCCUAUCACCCGGGGAAAUUCCACUUUUAUUGCUUGCAGGGCUCUUGAUUUUUAAAGCUGAGCCUUGAACACUGCUUUGGCUAGAUCUCUUUUAUCUGAGUGAUGCCUUCUGAGGGAAGAAGCAGGAG